GACGAACGCUGGCGGCGUGCCUAAUACAUGCAAGUCGAACGCCGUGGGGACGGGUGAGUAACACGUGGGUAACCUCCCAUCAGAGGGGAUAACACUUGGAAACAGGUGCUAAACCUAUACUGAUGGAUGGACCCGCGUUGCAUUAGCUAGUUGGUGAGGUAAAGGCUCACCAAGGCGACGAUACAUAGCGGACCUGAGAGUGUGAGGGGCAACACUGGGACUGAGAAACGGCCCAGACGCCUACGGUAGGCAGCAGUAGGGAAUAUUGCACAAUGGGCGCAAGCCUGAUGCAGCCAUGCCGCGUGUAUGAAGAAGGCCUUCGGGUUGUAAGACUUUCAGCGAGGAGGAACGUUACUCGCAGAAGAAGCACCGGCUAACUCCGUGCCAGCAGCCGCGGUAAUAC
This 403-nucleotide ribosomal RNA is filed under the name uncultured bacterium. Its description in RNAcentral is "partial 16S ribosomal RNA". It matches the Rfam family "Bacterial small subunit ribosomal RNA", at positions 28 to 526 of the family's 1533-position model. The record is from RNAcentral.